This is a long non-coding RNA of Cervus elaphus (red deer), 892 nucleotides long. RefSeq lists it as uncharacterized. The record is from RefSeq and is a predicted model, not a curated record. The transcript is spliced from 5 exons. NCBI's taxonomy places the organism in Eukaryota, Metazoa, Chordata, Mammalia, Artiodactyla, Cervidae.
UAACCACACAGCAGAAGUGAAACCACCCUCAGCAAGCUCACUGGGGAGGAUCGGAGACGGAGAGAGAACCACCUCCUGGGGCUGCUGCUGGGACGAAGUGAGCACAGCGCCUGGAAGUGCUGACGAAACACCAGCUCCCGUUAUGAUCAUCAGUUAGCACCAGUGAAGAUGUUGUCAGCGUGAAAGGAUCCUGAAACGUCUCCAUCUCAGACUUCCUGAUUCUUGAAACUAACAAGGCUCCAGGCAUCUGGCUUCGGCAGUGGUGACGUGUGGGCUCACAGGCUGAGCUGCUCCACGGCAUGUGGGAGCUUCCCGGACCAGGCACGGAACCGGUCUCGCACACAUCGCAAGGCAGAUUCUUAACCACUGGACCACCUGGAAAGGCCUAGUAUAGAGUUCUUUAAGCUCACAGGCAAUGUCCAGACCACAGGAAGGGAGAAAUUAACAUCCCCUGUGGAGACUGACCAGAACCAGGAAAUGUUUGACCCUACCCUCUCCCUGAAUUCUAACUCAGGCAGGACGGUUCUUUGGGACAUGAGUCCACCAUCUUCUUAGCUUGCUGACUUUUAAAUAAAGCUGCUAUUCCUUGCCCCACCAACUUGUUUCUUGAUUUACUGGCCUGUCACGUGGUAAGCAGUAUGACCCUGGACUCAGUACCACUGUCCAUUAUCUAAGAGUGACCGGAAAAGCUGUGCAAUCUGUCUUGAGGUUUUCCCUGGGGGCAGAAAUAGAGAUUGGUGAAAAAGAAUAAAUCUGAUUUCUCUUCCCACCCUAAUCAAUAAAUAGAUUGCACACAAAAAUAGUGCUCUGUAGCUCUCCUCCCCCCUCUUCCCAUAUGCAACCAGCUUCAACUCUGUUUUUUACAGCAUUUGUCUCUACAGUUCUAAACAAU